AACGAUAAUACAGUUUUAAUCUGGUUCUUCAUAUUAUUUAUCUGGAUAGCUAAUAAGUAGUACAGAAUAUUUGGACCACUGUACAGCAGUUUCUUUAUAAACCUUGGAUUUGUAUACUUGAGAAAACUGUAAAAGAUUUUUCAGACUUUGAUGUCUAUUAAGAAACUAUAGUGUGUAUCAUUAUGCAUGAGGACGGCAAACUGGAUUAGAAUUUAACUGCUAAAGUCAAGUCACAGAACCCAAAGUGACAAUGCUUACAAAUCCACAUUUAUUACUACUAAAGAAUUACUACUAAAUUAUUACUACUAAGGCAUUAAAAGUAAAGAUGUGUAUUAUAGCCAAGGACUGUCUCACAGUAAGGAGUAUGGAGAGGCCAAGUAAAAGCUACUAUUGUUCCCUGCUUUAGAGCCUUGGCAGGACACAUUUUCUUAGAUCAGGAACCACUUAUGUGUGCAGGCAAACAGCUUGGAACCAGGGAAUGCAAAAUGGACUCAUAGCUGGAGAUUUUUAUAUUUUUGCUGGUCACGUAGGUAGGCAUCUUGAUGCUAAGUAACCAGCUUCAACAGCAGAGCCCUCCAGGGUUCUCAGACCAAGCUAUCAGUCUCACUCCUACCAAUAAAGAAUACUAGCACAGUGCCCUGCAACUCCUCAGAUCCAUGAGUACAAAUCAACAUUAUUAGUAUUUUCAUGCCUUGAUCAGGGGUCAGUGCCAUGCAGAACAGCUCAGCCUGAUUCCAGAUGUGUCAGAAUUAACCCUUACAGCACAGUGUUAUGUUUGGGGGGAAGGGGUGGGGUAAAUACAGUUAUCUGGUUAUGUUUCCAUUUUGUAGAGGUAGCUUCAGUUGUCCAUAAAUGCUGCUAACUCAUACAAUAUGACUAUGCAGUGUCCUUAUAAAAAAGAUCAUAUAUUUACUUUUUGUCUCAUCCCCCUCAUUCUUUAACCAGAGAAAUAAGUCUUCUCAUAGCAUCAGGUACUGCUAGGAGGUAUAUAUUCUUAGACUGCAUAUUUCCCUUUGUCUUCUUUGAGAAAUUAGCCUCCUGUUUAUUGACAAACUGUAUUCUGAAAUGUCUUUCAAGAUAAGUUUUGUUUGCGUCAUACUUUCCCUUUUGUUAUUACUUUUUUAGAUCAGCCAUACCUUUGGGCUCGACUAGAUAGAAAACCCAACAAACAAGCUGAAAAAAGAUUUAAAAAUUUUCUACAUUCAAAAGAAAACCCAAAAGAAUUUUUUUGGAAUGUUGAGGAGGACUUCAAACCAGCUCCAGAGUGCUGGAUACCAGCAAAGGAGACAGAACAAAUAAAUGGGAACCCAGUGCCUGAUGAAAAUGGACACAUUCCUGGUUGGGUACCAGUGGAGAAAAACAACAAACAGUAUUGCUGGCAUUCCUCUGUAGUUAAUUAUGAAUUUGAAAUUGCCCUGGUACUAAAACAUCAUCCUGAUGAUUCUGGACUUUUGGAAAUUAGUGCAGUGCCACUUUCAGAUCUCUUAGAACAAACACUGGAGCUCAUAGGAACAAAUAUCAAUGGAAACCCAUAUGGGUUAGGGAGCAAGAAACAUCCAUUACAUCUUCUUAUACCACAUGGAGCAUUUCAAAUAAGAAAUCUACCUUCAUUGAAGCACAAUGAUCUCGUGUCCUGGUUUGAAGAUUGCAAAGAGGGUAAAAUUGAAGGAAUAGUGUGGCAUUGCAGUGAUGGCUGUUUAAUAAAGGUCCAUCGCCAUCAUCUUGGCUUAUGCUGGCCAAUUCCAGAUACUUACAUGAAUUCAAGACCAGUUAUUAUCAACAUGAACCUGAACAAAUGUGACUCUGCCUUUGAUAUUAAGUGUUUGUUUAAUCAUUUUUUAAAAAUAGAUAAUCAGAAAUUUGUUAGACUCAAAGAUAUAAUAUUUGAUGUAUAAA
This 1896-nucleotide small RNA is filed under the name Pan troglodytes (chimpanzee). Its description in RNAcentral is "retained intron". The record is from RNAcentral. Lineage: Eukaryota; Metazoa; Chordata; Mammalia; Primates; Hominidae.